UUUCCGUAGGUGAACCUGCGGAAGGAUCAUUACCGAAUUGUCAAACGGGUUGUUGCUGGUCCUCAAACGGGGACAUGUGCACGCUCUGUUUACACAUCCACUCACACCUGUGCACCCUCCGUAGUUCUAUGGUCUGGGGGACCCCGUCUUCCUGCCGUGGUUCUGCGUCUUUACACACACGCUGUAACAAAGUCUUAUGGAAUGUAUGCCGCGUCUAACGCAAUACAAUACAACUUUCAGCAACGGAUCUCUUGGCUCUC
RNAcentral lists this unclassified non-coding RNA (260 nucleotides) under plant metagenome. RNAcentral describes it as "partial contains small subunit ribosomal RNA, internal transcribed spacer 1, and 5.8S ribosomal RNA". The record is from RNAcentral.